UGGGGAAUUUUGGACAAUGGGCGAAAGCCUGAUCCAGCAAUGCCGCGUGUGUGAAGAAGGCCUUCGGGUUGUAAAGCACUUUUGUCCGGAAAGAAAUCCUUGGCUCUAAUACAGUCGGGGGAUGACGGUACCGGAAGAAUAAGCACCGGCUAACUACGUGCCAGCAGCCGCGGUAAUACGUAGGGUGCAAGCGUUAAUCGGAAUUACUGGGCGUAAAGCGUGCGCAGGCGGUUUGCUAAGACCGAUGUGAAAUCCCCGGGCUCAACCUGGGAACUGCAUUGGUGACUGGCAGGCUAGAGUAUGGCAGAGGGGGGUAGAAUUCCACGUGUAGCAGUGAAAUGCGUAGAGAUGUGGAGGAAUACCGAUGGCGAAGGCAGCCCCCUGGGCCAAUACUGACGCUCAUGCACGAAAGCGUGGGGAGCAAACAGGAUUAGAUACCCUGGUAGUCCACGCCCUAAAACGAUGUCAACUAGUUGUUGGGGAUUCAUUUCCUUAGUAACGUAGCUAACGCGUGAAGUUGACCGCCUGGGGAGUACGGCCGCAAGAUUAAAACUCAAAUGAAUUGACGGGGUCAUAGCUGUUUCCU
Molecule: ribosomal RNA, 586 nt
Filed under: uncultured bacterium
Lineage: Bacteria
Description: partial 16S ribosomal RNA
Rfam family: Bacterial small subunit ribosomal RNA
Source: RNAcentral